RNAcentral lists this ribosomal RNA (440 nucleotides) under uncultured bacterium. RNAcentral describes it as "partial 16S ribosomal RNA". It matches the Rfam family "Bacterial small subunit ribosomal RNA", at positions 338 to 795 of the family's 1533-position model. The record is from RNAcentral.
CCUACGGGGGGCAGCAGUGGGGGAUAUUGCACAAUGGGGGGAACCCUGAUGCAGCGACGCCGCGUGGGUGAAGAAGCGCCUCGGCGCGUAAAGCCCUGUUAGCAGGGAAGAAAAUGACGGUACCUGAAGAAGAAGCCCCGGCUAACUACGUGCCAGCAGCCGCGGUAAUACGUCGGGGGCAAGCGUUAUCCGGAUUUACGGGGUGGAAAGGGGGCGCAGACGGCGAUGAAAGCCAGGAGUGAAAGCCCGGGGCCCAACCCCGGGACUGCUCUUGAAACUGCGUGGCUUGAGUGCGGGAGGGGCAGGCGGAAUUCCUGGUGUAGCGGUGAAAUGCGUAGAUAUCAGGAGGAACACCGAUGGCGAAGGCGGCCUGCUGGACUGCAACUGACGUUGAGGCCCGAAAGCGUGGGGAGCAAACAGGAUUAGAUACCCGGGUAGUC